Lolium rigidum is the source of this 2174-nucleotide long non-coding RNA. RefSeq lists it as uncharacterized. The record is from RefSeq and is a predicted model, not a curated record. NCBI's taxonomy places the organism in Eukaryota, Viridiplantae, Streptophyta, Magnoliopsida, Poales, Poaceae. The transcript is spliced from 13 exons.
GGAACGGCAGACCCUUUCGUGGGCGGCGACCACGACCAGAUGCAGGGCGUGCGGGUACGACCUAAAGCUGAGCUCUCUGGUGCUGUACACGGCGGCCGGCGCGACGAGGCGGCGGCGGAGGGUGGUGGUGUUUGAGGCGGACGGUUGUUCUGCUGCAAGUGCGGCGCCCACCUCCACGUGCGGGCGUUCCGCCUCUUCUUGCGCCGGACGCGGUUGCUGUGCUGCAAGUGCGGCGCCCACCUCGGUUACGGCUACCACGAGCAUGACACCACUGCCAACAGCAAGGCUCCCUGGAAUGGAUUCCAGAAGAUUGACAAGAUCAAGGACUCUAACAGGCAGUCCAAGCAGCGGGAGGAGCUCACUGGGAAGAUGAGGGAGUGCAAGCGGUAGCUUAAUCGCAGACCUUGCAGGUGUUGGUGACGCCCUGGUGACCAGUGGUGCUUGGCCAUGGGCUCUAGCCGCCGGUGGUGUACGCCGCUAGGUCGUUAAGGGGAGCCAGCACAGGGAGCCCUUGGGGUCGCGCAUCCUCCACCUCCUCGGUACCUGCUCACCCUGGUGAGCAGCGCGAGGAGGGCCGCCCCAAGAACCCCGGAAGGAUGGCCAUGGCGCCGCUCGAUGGAUUUACGCCUUGUUGCUCAUCCAUCCUAUCUCCUAAGGUUUGCCUUUUCUUCUCAGAAGGUGGAUCUGCCUGGCCAUGGACGUGAGCAGAGAAAACCAUAGCCGGCUCUUCCUCUCUGCCUCUCCGCUCAGGAUGCUAGAUUUUUUGUACUAAUAGUCUCUUGCAACUUGUGUGAAUUUGGUUGUGGGCUGUUUCGACCUCCUGUUGGGUGAUGCCGCACUCACGCUCGAGAACCUCAGGUUCUUUAAUGUUAUGAUUGGCACGGUUGUCUGGAUUUGGAAGUGGUGAACAAGAGAAAAUUUACUAUCUCACUUGAAGACAAUGGAUUACUGCUGGUGUAUAUAUGUAAAAUUACUUACUGGUGGUCUUACUUUCAGAUCGCAAGUUUGUGCGAAUCAGACUAGAAAAGAAUUGCUUGGACAUUCUUGGGUAUUGUGGUCCUGUGAUUUUUUAAUAUGCUCAUACACUGUGAGUAGCUAAAUGGUUCCUUGCCUUCUGUUAAAAUAUAGUGUUUCUGUGGAGGAGGUAAAAGAGGAGUCCUAUUUUUGGUUCAGAUUUCUUGCCAAUAAUUAUCCCUUUGGCUGCAUUGUGUUCUUCCGGCAACUAUGUUAAUUGCUCUGAGGUUAAACUCUCAUUAUCUACCACGCCUUUCCAAACAUGUGUUGUUGCUAGCUUCAGGUAAAUCUUCUCCCAGUUUUGUUGUAUACACCAGGUGCCAAUGUACAAAGUUGUAUGAUUAAAUUCCCCCUUGCAAGUUUAACUAUCUCAUUAUCUACCACGCCUUUCUAAACAUCUGUUGUUGCUAGCUUCAGGUAAAUCUUCUCCCGGUUCUGCUGUAUAUGCAUGUUUACUAUUUAUCACUUCGCAGGUUCUGAUUCGCGCGUAACAAUUUUUUCUUUGUUGUAAAUAUACAGGUGGGAUCCUUCUGUUCUGUAUAUGUACGGAGGCUUCGUAUGUCUUCUUACUUAUAACCCUGAUUGGAGGCACUAGCGGAGCCAACCAUGGAAGCGCUGCCCUACAUACUUCUCAUCCGCGCGAGGAGCCUGUUUCCCAGCAGUGGCGGAGCCAACCAUGGAAACACUUCCCUACAAUCUUCUGUUCCGUUCGAUUGUACAUGCAGAUGCAGUGCAUCUGGGUCUCGAUUCAAUUUCGCCAGGUGGUGCGCUGAAUACUCCUGCUGAUUCUAAUGGUAUUGGGAAAUAUGCGGCAAAACUUAUAUGAGCUGGAUUUCAAUGUUGUUGCCAUGAGGGAAACACAAUGGAGGUAUGUGUGCCAGCCAAUCGUACAGGUCAGUUCAAAGAACGUCUGAAGAAAGGCUAUGUGUGUACCAGUCAAUUGUAUAGGAUACAUCUCGCAUGGGUGAGAUCAGAAGGUCCAGGUCAUUGUUUGGCAAUGUAUCUGUGGCUUACGCUGAAAACUUCCUCUCAUAAUGAUGGUUGCUGUGUGACCUUAUCCGUGGUUUAUGUUGGAAGCAAGCAUGUUUUUUGAUAACUUCUUCUACGCUGGUGACCGUUGGCUGAAGUUAUUUCAGUGCGAGAACCGAGCUAUACUUUAA